This 750-nucleotide ribosomal RNA is filed under the name uncultured soil bacterium. RNAcentral's name for it is "bacterial SSU rRNA". It matches the Rfam family "Bacterial small subunit ribosomal RNA", at positions 8 to 747 of the family's 1533-position model. The record is from RNAcentral.
AGAGUUUGAUCAUGGCUCAGAACGAACGCUGGCGGCGUGGAUAAGACAUGCAAGUCGAGCGCUGAUUUGCGGGUAGCAAUAUUCGUAAGUCGGAGUGGCGCAAGGGUGUGUAACACGUGGGUAAUCUGCCAUGAAGUCUGGAAUAACUUGCUGAAAGGCGAGCUAAUACCGGAUGUGAACGCAAGUUCAAAGUUGGGGACCGUAAGGCCUGACGCUUCAUGAUGAGCCCGCGGCCUAUCAGCUAGUUGGUGAGGUAACGGCUCACCAAGGCCAAGACGGGUAGCUGGUCUGAGAGGACGACCAGCCACACUGGAACUGAGACACGGUCCAGACACCUACGGGUGGCAGCAGUCGAGAAUUUUUCUCAAUGGGCGAAAGCCUGAAGGAGCGACGCCGCGUGGGGGAUGAAUGGCUUCGGCCCGUAAACCCCUGUCAUUUGCGAACAAAUUGUUUCACCUAACACGUGAAGCAUUGAUUGUAGCGGAAGAGGAAGGGACGGCUAACUCUGUGCCAGCAGCCGCGGUAAUACAGAGGUCCCAAGCGUUGUUCGGAUUCACUGGGCGUAAAGGGUGCGUAGGCGGCCAGGUAAGUUUGAUGUGAAAUCCCGCAGCUCAACUGCGGAACUGCAUUGAAUACUAUUUGGCUCGAGGAAUGGAGGGGAGACUGGAAUUCUCGGUGUAGCAGUGAAAUGCGUAGAUAUCGAGAGGAACACCAGUGGCGAAGGCGAGUCUCUGGACAUUUCCUGACGCU